GCAGGCAAUUUGAAUGGAAGAGAGCGGCCUCCUCCCUCAGCCCGGUGCUUGGAGGCCUGCAAAUGCAAAGAUCCUGCCCGCCUCUUGUUCGCUCUCAGUAUGUGGCUUAGGUGACCGAUGCAGACAUAAGCAGACAGCCCCGCUCUCGUCGUGCCCCCCCCCCCGCGUAGUUAAGAGAAAAACGAAGGAAGGAGGCAAUUGGCGUUGGACUGUUGACAAGACAGGGAGCGCGGCGGCCCCUGUGUUCCGACAGGGAGAGAAGCAAAAGCGCUGCAGCCUCAGAGCCACUGGUAGAGACCGACACGUUGAUUUCGCCUUGAAGGCUUUGUGGCUGGCCAGAGUCCACAUUCUCCAGAGCACGUUUAGCUCACGUGGUACCUAGUCAAAUCGACUUCAGUGGGAUUUACUUCCCAGCAAGACCGAAUUUGCCCUGAUAGCAACAAUACCGUACGUAGUUUGGAGGGUCAUUUGAAUCAAGUGUGUUUCUGCAGAAGCCAGCCAUUGAGGUCAAUGGUGCUCAGUCUCACAGAGCUGUGGCGAUCUCCUUACUGUUACCAAGCCCACCUCAUGCUUGUGUCGGAACCGUGGGAUGGAAAGCCAGCUGGCUUGGCCCCAGCCGGAGCGUCUCCCUUCUCAGCCUUGCCACUGUGGAGAUCCGUCAGUCAUCCACCUCCGACGUGCAUCCGCGACUCACGCUGCUGUGCAUGCAUGAGCACACAUUACUCAGCAGAGUAAACACACAACAGAUCUGGCUUGAGGUGUGGAUACUAGACUACAUUUAUUGUACAUAAAUCAGGACAAAGAAAACA
This is a long non-coding RNA of Lacerta agilis (Sand lizard), 809 nucleotides long. RefSeq lists it as uncharacterized. The transcript has 2 exons. NCBI's taxonomy places the organism in Eukaryota, Metazoa, Chordata, Lepidosauria, Squamata, Lacertidae. The record is from RefSeq and is a predicted model, not a curated record.